This 729-nucleotide ribosomal RNA is filed under the name uncultured bacterium. RNAcentral describes it as "bacterial SSU rRNA". It matches the Rfam family "Bacterial small subunit ribosomal RNA", at positions 771 to 1493 of the family's 1533-position model. The record is from RNAcentral.
AACAGGAUUAGAUACCCUGGUAGUCCACGCCGUAAACGAUGAGUGCUAAGUGUUGGGGGGUUUCCGCCCCUCAGUGCUGCAGCUAACGCAUUAAGCACUCCGCCUGGGGAGUACGACCGCAAGGCUGAAACUCAAAGGAAUUGACGGGGGCCCGCACAAGCGGUGGAGCAUGUGGUUUAAUUCGAAGCAACGCGAAGAACCUUACCAAAUCUUGACAUCCUUUGGACGCUCUUGAAAACAAAUCUUCCCCUUCGGGGGACACAGUGACAGGUGGUGCAUGGUUGUCGUCAGCUCGUGUCGUGAGAUGUUGGGUUAAGUCCCGCAACGAACGCAACCCUUAUUCUUAGUUGCCAUCAUUCAGUUGGGCACUCUAAGGAGACUGCCGGUGAUAAACCGGAGGAAGGUGGGGAUGACGUCAAAUCAUCAUGCCCCUUAUGACUUGGGCUACACACGUGCUACAAUGGACGGUACAAACGGUUGCUAACCCGCGAGGGGGAGCUAAUCCGAUAAAAGUUGUUCUCAGUUCGGAUUGUAGGCUGCAACUCGACUACAUGAAGCUGGAAUCGCUAGUAAUCGUAGAAUCAGCAUGCUACGUGAAUACGUUUCCCGGGUCUUUGUACACACCGCCCGUCACACCACGAGAGUUUGUAACACCCGAAGUCGGUGGAGUAACCAUUUAUGAAGCUAGCCGUCAAAGUGGGAUAGAUGAUUUGGUGUGAAGUCGUAACA